UAAAAAUGAAGCAUGCUCUGAUACCACAUGAUAGAACUAAGUCAUGCACAGCGGAAAAAGAAUCGAAUUUCUACCCUAAUUGCCACAAUUAACAUCUAACCAUAAACUAAUCAAAUUAGGGUUUUAAGAAGUAUUACCUUUGAAGCUUUCAAAAAGGUUUGAUGUCUUCUUACCAAUUCUACCCGAGACCACCACUAGUACUCAACUGCUAUCCUCUAGACAAAGAACCGGGUUGUGGACCCAAUUUUGGUGUAGAAAGUAAUGGAGAUAAAAUGAGAUUGGAAGCUUUCUUUUUUUCUUUUGUUGAGAUUAUGAAAAUGAUAAAAGAGGCAAAAGUCCUUCAACAUUUGAAAACAUCUCUAUUUAUAGCCUAAUUACAUGCAAAAAUGCAUGCAAUUCAAUUGCCAAAUCUCAACACCUAAUAUUCCACUAACAAUUAGUGGAACUUAGUGGCUAGGUGUCUAUAUCUCAUAUAGCCACAUAUCCCACUAAGAGUUAGUGGGAUUAUCCAACAAAGUUGGAUUUUCCCACUAACUUAGUCCAAGGGUAAAAUGGUCAUUAGAUUUUUCUAGUCAAAAGUCAAACUUUGACUUUUCUAAGUCAAAAGUCAAUAUUUUGACUUUUUACCAUUUUGUCCGUCUUGACUAAUUCCAACCUCCCGAGCAUGAAUCCGCAUUCAUUUUUCCAAAAUUCAAAUCACAUUUGAAUAUAAGGCCGGUCAAAGUUUGACUUUUCAAAGUCAAAAGUCAACAUUUUGACUUUUUACUAUUUUUGACCAAUUCCGAGCUUCUUAGUAUGAAUCCGCAUUCAUACUUAUAGUAUGUAAACAUAAAGCUCUAUUUCUAAUUAGAAGACCGACGAUUAUAUCACUGUAUAUGUCGGUUUUCCUUUCUUCUCCCUAUUCGAACAAUUCGACUUAUUUCAUCACACUGUUCUAAGUUUAAUCCAUAUGACUAGCAGAGGAACCUAAUGGACCUAUAGAUCAUGGCUCCAACGAUUCAAGAUUAACUAGCUAAACUCUUUUAAACCGAGUUAAUCAACAUUCGUUAACUAACGGGUCAUUCCACUAAAGUCCCGUAGUUGCACUCCCCUCACUAUAGAUAUAUUUGUGUCCAUUUGAUAAAACCAUAAUCAGUAAGUUAAUCCUUCACAGGUUGCUCGUAACCUUGGCUGGGUCAAAAUACCGUUUUACCCCCAAGAUUACAUCUUGCUCCUUAAGUCCCACUAAUCCACUAUUGAACAAUUGGUUUAAGGUUCAACCUAUAAACUUAAUCCCUCUCGGGCCAAUGAGAGGGUGGGGCCCCUUGUUCAAGACUUGGAUUCAGUGCUUAAGAGAGCAACCUAUCUACUAACCCUAAAGCGGGUAGGAGUGAAUUCCAUCUUGUACCCUGUUCCCAGCUAUCCACCCGAUCUUACCCCUGAAAUGGGAGGCUUUUGGGCCAACGCUGAUGAGCUGCCCUCACCUAUGCAGAUCUAAGGAUAAUCUCGUAUGAACAGGAGUUCAUAGUUAACUCAGGAUUAAGACUAAGUUACCUAGGUCAUCAAUAAUUGAGAUAGUCAGUUUUAAACAGUAAACGGUGUUAUAACGUAAAAAUGACUAAUUCAUGGUUCAGUCUUAUGUAAACAUUUUACAUAGGAUGCCCCCACUUUCAUGUCUCUACAUGAACGAUUAGGAUCACAUCGUUUGUACUACAAAGUGGGCCGCAUCCAUAGUUCUCAAAAUAAGGCGCCCAACCUUUAUUUCAUAUACUAUAGACUAUUUAGGCUAUAUACUCGAACUUGAUCCACGUUUAUGUUUACACAUAAAGUUCAAGUUUAUUCAAAAAAUAGCCUUGGAACUUUGAUUUAUUGGAUUUAAGAUUAUAAUAUUUAAUUUCUCAAUAACAACUUUAUUGAAUAGAAUAUGAUUUACAAACUACGAGUUUUAGGACAAAAAAUUCCAACACGAUAUCUGAGUGGAGUGUCUCAAAGUUUCUUGCCACAAAAGCCGAACGGUGACGCCCCAGACUCGGUUUCUUGGUUCCGUCCCAAAACGCCGAAGAAAGGCACAAUGGCCUAGAAAGGGACGGUCGGACUUGGAACGGGGUCCGAGGCCUCGAAAGUCCACAUCUAGCUACUGGGUGGUCCGAUUUUGAGUGAUCUCGAAGUUUCUUGCCCACAAAAGCCGAACGGUGACGCCCCAGACUCGGUUUCUUGGUUCCGUCCCAAAACGCCGAAGAAAGGCACAAUGGCCUAGAAAGGGACGGUCGGACUUGGAACGGGGUCCGAGGCCUCGAAAGUCCACAUCUAGCUACUGGGUGGUCCGAUUCUGAGUGAUCUCGAAGUUUCUUGCCCACAAAAGCCGAACGGUGACGCCCCAGACUCGGUUUCUUGGUUCCGUCCCAAAACGCCGAAGAAAGGCACAAUGGCCUAGAAAGGGACGGUCGGACUUGGAACGGGGUCCGAGGCCUCGAAAGUCCACAUCUAGCUACUGGGUGGUCCGAUUCUGAGUGAUCUCGAAGUUUCUUGCCCACAAAAGCCGAACGGUGACGCCCAGACUCGGUUUCUUGGUUCCGUCCCAAAACGCCGAAGAAAGGCACAAUGGCCUAGAAAGGGACGGUCGGACUUGGAACGGGGUCCGAGGCCUCGAAAGUCCACAUCUAGCUACUGGGUGGUCCGAUUCUGUGAUCUCGAAGUUUCUUGCCCACAAAAGCCGAACGGUGACGCCCCAGACUCGGUUUCUUGGUUCCGUCCCAAAACGCCGAAGAAAGGCACAAUGGCCUAGAAAGGGACGGUCGGACUUGGAACGGGGUCCGAGGCCUCGAAAGUCCACAUCUAGCUACUGGGUGGUCCGAUUCUGAGUGAUCUCGAAGUUUCUUGCCCACAAAAGCCGAACGGUGACGCCCCAGACUCGGUUUCUUGGUUCCGUCCCAAAACGCCGAAGAAAGGCACAAUGGCCUAGAAAGGGACGGUCGGACUUGGAACGGGGUCCGAGGCCUCGAAAGUCCACAUCUAGCUACUGGGUGGUCCGAUUCUGAGUGAUCUCGAAGUUUCUUGCCCACAAAAGCCGAACGGUGACGCCCCAGACUCGGUUUCUUGGUUCCGUCCCAAAACGCCGAAGAAAGGCACAAUGGCCUAGAAAGGGACGGUCGGACUUGGAACGGGGUCCGAGGCCUCGAAAGUCCACAUCUAGCUACUGGGUGGUCCGAUUCUGAGUGAUCUCGAAGUUUCUUGCCCACAAAAGCCGAACGGUGACGCCCCAGACUCGGUUUCUUGGUUCCGUCCCAAAACGCCGAAGAAAGGCACAAUGGCCUAGAAAGGGACGGUCGGACUUGGAACGGGGUCCGAGGCCUCGAAAGUCCACAUCUAGCUACUGGGUGGUCCGAUUCUGAGUGAUCUCGAAGUUUCUUGCCCACAAAAGCCGAACGGUGACCCCAGACUCGGUUUCUUGGUUCCGUCCCAAAACGCCGAAGAAAGGCACAAUGGCCUAGAAAGGGACGGUCGGACUUGGAACGGGGUCCGGCCUCGAAAGUCCACAUCUAGCUACUGGGUGGUCCGAUUCUGAGUGAUCUCGAAGUUUCUUGCCCACAAAAGCCGAACGGUGACGCCCCAGACUCGGUUUCUUGGUUCCGUCCCAAAACGCCGAAGAAAGGCACAAUGGCCUAGAAAGGGACGGUCGGACUUGGAACGGGGUCCGAGGCCUCGAAAGUCCACAUCUAGCUACUGGGUGGUCCGAUUCUGAGUGAUCUCGAAGUUUCUUGCCCACAAAAGCCGAACGGUGACGCCCCAGACUCGGUUUCUUGGUUCCGUCCCAAAACGCCGAAGAAAGGCACAAUGGCCUAGAAAGGGACGGUCGGACUUGGAACGGGGUCCGAGGCCUCGAAAGUCCACAUCUAGCUACUGGGUGGUCCGAUUCUGAGUGAUCUCGAAGUUUCUUGCCCACAAAAGCCGAACGGUGACGCCCCAGACUCGGUUUCUUGGUUCCGUCCCAAAACGCCGAAGAAAGGCACAAUGGCCUAGAAAGGGACGGUCGGACUUGGAACGGGGUCCGAGGCCUCGAAAGUCCACAUCUAGCUACUGGGUGGUCCGAUUCUGAGUGAUCUCGAAGUUUCUUGCCCACAAAAGCCGAACGGUGACGCCCCAGACUCGGUUUCUUGGUUCCGUCCCAAAACGCCGAAGAAAGGCACAAUGGCCUAGAAAGGGACGGUCGGACUUGGAACGGGGUCCGAGGCCUCGAAAGUCCACAUCUAGCUACUGGGUGGUCCGAUUCUGAGUGAUCUCGAAGUUUCUUGCCCACAAAAGCCGAACGGUGACGCCCCAGACUCGGUUUCUUGGUUCCGUCCCAAAACGCCGAAGAAAGGCACAAUGGCCUAGAAAGGGACGGUCGGACUUGGAACGGGGUCCGAGGCCUCGAAAGUCCACAUCUAGCUACUGGGUGGUCCGAUUCUGAGUGAUCUCGAAGUUUCUUGCCCACAAAAGCCGAACGGUGACGCCCAGACUCGGUUUCUUGGUUCCGUCCCAAAACGCCGAAGAAAGGCACAAUGGCCUAGAAAGGGACGGUCGGACUUGGAACGGGGUCCGAGGCCUCGAAAGUCCACAUCUAGCUACUGGGUGGUCCGAUUCUGAGUGAUCUCGAAGUUUCUUGCCCACAAAAGCCGAACGGUGACGCCCCAGACUCGGUUUCUUGGUUCCGUCCCAAAACGCCGAAGAAAGGCACAAUGGCCUAGAAAGGGACGGUCGGACUUGGAACGGGGUCCGAGGCCUCGAAAGUCCACAUCUAGCUACUGGGUGGUCCGAUUCUGAGUGAUCUCGAAGUUUCUUGCCCACAAAAGCCGAACGGUGACGCCCCAGACUCGGUUUCUUGGUUCCGUCCCAAAACGCCGAAGAAAGGCACAAUGGCCUAGAAAGGGACGGUCGGACUUGGAACGGGGUCCGAGGCCUCGAAAGUCCACAUCUAGCUACUGGGUGGUCCGAUUCUGAGUGAUCUCGAAGUUUCUUGCCCACAAAAGCCGAACGGUGACGCCCCAGACUCGGUUUCUUGGUUCCGUCCCAAAACGCCGAAGAAAGGCACAAUGGCCUAGAAAGGGACGGUCGGACUUGGAACGGGGUCCGAGGCCUCGAAAGUCCACAUCUAGCUACUGGUGGUCCGAUUCUGAGUGAUCUCGAAGUUUCUUGCCCACAAAAGCCGAACGGUGACGCCCCAGACUCGGUUUCUUGGUUCCGUCCCAAAACGCCGAAGAAAGGCACAAUGGCCUAGAAAGGGACGGUCGGACUUGGAACGGGGUCCGAGGCCUCGAAAGUCCACAUCUAGCUACUGGGUGGUCCGAUUCUGAGUGAUCUCGAAGUUUCUUGCCCACAAAAGCCGAACGGUGACGCCCCAGACUCGGUUUCUUGGUUCCGUCCCAAAACGCCGAAGAAAGGCACAAUGGCCUAGAAAGGGACGGUCGGACUUGGAACGGGGUCCGAGGCCUCGAAAGUCCACAUCUAGCUACUGGGUGGUCCGAUUCUGAGUGAUCUCGAAGUUUCUUGCCCACAAAAGCCGAACGGUGACCCCCAGACUCGGUUUCUUGGUUCCGUCCCAAAACGCCGAAGAAAGGCACAAUGGCCUAGAAAGGGACGGUCGGACUUGGAACGGGGUCCGGCCUCGAAAGUCCACAUCUAGCUACUGGGUGGUCCGAUUCUGUGAUCUCGAAGUUUCUUGCCCACAAAAGCCGAACGGUGACGCCCCAGACUCGGUUUCUUGGUUCCGUCCCAAAACGCCGAAGAAAGGCACAAUGGCCUAGAAAGGGACGGUCGGACUUGGAACGGGGUCCGAGGCCUCGAAAGUCCACAUCUAGCUACUGGGUGGUCCGAUUCUGAGUGAUCUCGAAGUUUCUUGCCCACAAAAGCCGAACGGUGACGCCCCAGACUCGGUUUCUUGGUUCCGUCCCAAAACGCCGAAGAAAGGCACAAUGGCCUAGAAAGGGACGGUCGGACUUGGAACGGGGUCCGAGGCCUCGAAAGUCCACAUCUAGCUACUGGGUGGUCCGAUUCUGUGAUCUCGAAGUUUCUUGCCCACAAAAGCCGAACGGUGACGCCCCAGACUCGGUUUCUUGGUUCCGUCCCAAAACGCCGAAGAAAGGCACAAUGGCCUAGAAAGGGACGGUCGGACUUGGAACGGGGUCCGAGGCCUCGAAAGUCCACAUCUAGCUACUGGGUGGUCCGAUUCUGAGUGAUCUCGAAGUUUCUUGCCCACAAAAGCCGAACGGUGACGCCCCAGACUCGGUUUCUUGGUUCCGUCCCAAAACGCCGAAGAAAGGCACAAUGGCCUAGAAAGGGACGGUCGGACUUGGAACGGGGUCCGAGGCCUCGAAAGUCCACAUCUAGCUACUGGGUGGUCCGAUUCUGAGUGAUCUCGAAGUUUCUUGCCCACAAAAGCCGAACGGUGACGCCCCAGACUCGGUUUCUUGGUUCCGUCCCAAAACGCCGAAGAAAGGCACAAUGGCCUAGAAAGGGACGGUCGGACUUGGAACGGGGUCCGAGGCCUCGAAAGUCCACAUCUAGCUACUGGGUGGUCCGAUUCUGUGAUCUCGAAGUUUCUUGCCCACAAAAGCCGAACGGUGACGCCCCAGACUCGGUUUCUUGGUUCCGUCCCAAAACGCCGAAGAAAGGCACAAUGGCCUAGAAAGGGACGGUCGGACUUGGAACGGGGUCCGAGGCCUCGAAAGUCCACAUCUAGCUACUGGGUGGUCCGAUUCUGAGUGAUCUCGAAGUUUCUUGCCCACAAAAGCCGAACGGUGACGCCCCAGACUCGGUUUCUUGGUUCCGUCCCAAAACGCCGAAGAAAGGCACAAUGGCCUAGAAAGGGACGGUCGGACUUGGAACGGGGUCCGAGGCCUCGAAAGUCCACAUCUAGCUACUGGGUGGUCCGAUUCUGAGUGAUCUCGAAGUUUCUUGCCCACAAAAGCCGAACGGUGACGCCCCAGACUCGGUUUCUUGGUUCCGUCCCAAAACGCCGAAGAAAGGCACAAUGGCCUAGAAAGGGACGGUCGGACUUGGAACGGGGUCCGAGGCCUCGAAAGUCCACAUCUAGCUACUGGGUGGUCCGAUUCUGAGUGAUCUCGAAGUUUCUUGCCCACAAAAGCCGAACGGUGACGCCCCAGACUCGGUUUCUUGGUUCCGUCCCAAAACGCCGAAGAAAGGCACAAUGGCCUAGAAAGGGACGGUCGGACUUGGAACGGGGUCCGAGGCCUCGAAAGUCCACAUCUAGCUACUGGGUGGUCCGAUUCUGUGAUCUCGAAGUUUCUUGCCCACAAAAGCCGAACGGUGACGCCCCAGACUCGGUUUCUUGGUUCCGUCCCAAAACGCCGAAGAAAGGCACAAUGGCCUAGAAAGGGACGGUCGGACUUGGAACGGGGUCCGAGGCCUCGAAAGUCCACAUCUAGCUACUGGGUGGUCCGAUUCUGAGUGAUCUCGAAGUUUCUUGCCCACAAAAGCCGAACGGUGACGCCCCAGACUCGGUUUCUUGGUUCCGUCCCAAAACGCCGAAGAAAGGCACAAUGGCCUAGAAAGGGACGGUCGGACUUGGAACGGGGUCCGAGGCCUCGAAAGUCCACAUCUAGCUACUGGGUGGUCCGAUUCUGAGUGAUCUCGAAGUUUCUUGCCCACAAAAGCCGAACGGUGACGCCCCAGACUCGGUUUCUUGGUUCCGUCCCAAAACGCCGAAGAAAGGCACAAUGGCCUAGAAAGGGACGGUCGGACUUGGAACGGGGUCCGAGGCCUCGAAAGUCCACAUCUAGCUACUGGGUGGUCCGAUUCUUGUGAUCUCGAAGUUUCUUGCCCACAAAAGCCGAACGGUGACGCCCCAGACUCGGUUUCUUGGUUCCGUCCCAAAACGCCGAAGAAAGGCACAAUGGCCUAGAAAGGGACGGUCGGACUUGGAACGGGGUCCGAGGCCUCGAAAGUCCACAUCUAGCUACUGGGUGGUCCGAUUCUGAGUGAUCUCGAAGUUUCUUGCCCACAAAAGCCGAACGGUGACGCCCCAGACUCGGUUUCUUGGUUCCGUCCCAAAACGCCGAAGAAAGGCACAAUGGCCUAGAAAGGGACGGUCGGACUUGGAACGGGGUCCGAGGCCUCGAAAGUCCACAUCUAGCUACUGGGUGGUCCGAUUCUGAGUGAUCUCGAAGUUUCUUGCCCACAAAAGCCGAACGGUGACGCCCCAGACUCGGUUUCUUGGUUCCGUCCCAAAACGCCGAAGAAAGGCACAAUGGCCUAGAAAGGGACGGUCGGACUUGGAACGGGGUCCGAGGCCUCGAAAGUCCACAUCUAGCUACUGGGUGGUCCGAUUCUGAGUGAUCUCGAAGUUUCUUGCCCACAAAAGCCGAACGGUGACGCCCAGACUCGGUUUCUUGGUUCCGUCCCAAAACGCCGAAGAAAGGCACAAUGGCCUAGAAAGGGACGGUCGGACUUGGAACGGGGUCCGAGGCCUCGAAAGUCCACAUCUAGCUACUGGGUGGUCCGAUUCUGAGUGAUCUCGAAGUUUCUUGCCCACAAAAGCCGAACGGUGACGCCCAGACUCGGUUUCUUGGUUUGUCCCAAAACGCCGAAGAAAGGCACAAUGGCCUAGAAAGGGACGGUCGGACUUGGAACGGGGUCCGAGGCCUCGAAAGUCCACAUCUAGCUACUGGGUGGUCCGAUUCUGAGUGAUCUCGAAGUUUCUUGCCCACAAAAAGCCAAACGGUGACGCCCUAGACUCGGUUUGUUGGUUCCGUCCCAAAACGUCGAAGAAAGCACAAUGGCCUAGAAAGGGACAGUCGGACUUUGGAACGGUGUCCGAGGCGUCGAAAGUCCACAUCUAGCUACUCGGUGGUCCGAUUCUGAGUGAUCUCGAAGUUUCUUGCCCACAAAAGGCGAACGGUGACGCCCCAGACUCGGUUUCUUGGUUCCAUCCGAAAACGCCGGAAGAAAGGCACAAUGGCCUAGAAAGGGACGGUCGGACUUGGAACGCGGUGCGAGGCCUCAAAAGUCCACAUCUAGCUACUGGGUGGUCCGAUUCUGAGUGAUCUCGAACUUUCUUGCCCACAAAAGGCGAACGGUGACGCCCAGACUCGGUUUCUUGGUUCCGUCCCAAAACGUCGAAGAAAGGCACAAUGGCCUAGAAAGGGACGGUCGGACUUGGAACGGUGUCCGAGGCCUCGAAAGUCCACAUCUAGCUACUGGGUGGUUCGAUUCUGAGUGAUCUCGAAGUUUCUUGCCCACAAAAGGCGAACGGUGACGCCCAGACUCGGUUUCUUGGUUCCGUCCGAAAACGCCGAAGAAAGGCACAAUGGCCUAGAAAGGGACGGUCGGACUUGGAACGCGGUCCGAGGCCUCGAAAGUCCACAUCUAGCUACUGGGUGGUCCGAUUCUGAGUGAUCUCGAACUUUCUUGCCCACAAAAGCCGAACGGUGUCGCCCCAGACUCGGUUUCUUGGUUCCGUCCCAAAACGCCGAAGAAAGGCACAAUGGCCUAGAAAGGGACGGUCGGACUUGGAACGGGGUCCGAGGCCUCGAAAGUCCACAUCUAGCUACUGGGUGGUCCGAUUCUGAGUGAUCUCGAAGUUUCUUGCCCACAAAAGCGAACGGUGACGCCCAGACUCGGUUUCUUGGUUCCGUCCCAAAACGCCGAAGAAAGGCCCAAUGGCCUAGAAAGGGACGGUCGGACUUGGAACGGGGUCCGAGGCCUCGAAAGUCCACAUCUAGCUACUGGGUUGUCCGAUUCUGAGUGAUCUCGAAGUUUCUUGCCCACAAAAGCCGAACGGUGACGCCCCAGACUCGGUUUCUUGGUUUUGUCCCAUAACGGCGAAGAAAGGCACAAUGGCCUAGAAAGGGACGGUCGGACUUGGAACGGGGUCCGAGGCCUCGAAAGUCCACAUCUAGCUACUGGGUGGUCCGAUUCUGAGUGAUCUCGAAGUUUCUUGCCCACAAAAGCCAAACGGUGACGCCCUAGACUCGGUUUGUUGGUUCCGUCCCAAAACGUCGAAGAAAGGCACAAUGGCCUAGAAAGGGACAGUCGGACUUGGAACGGUGUCCGAGGCCUCGAAAGUCCACAUCUAGCUACUCGGUGGUCCGAUUCUGAGUGAUCUCGAAGUUUCUUGCCCACAAAAGGCGAACGGUGACGCCUCAGACUCGGUUUCUUGGUUCCGUCCGAAAACGCCGAAGAAAGGCACAAUGGCCUAGAAAGGGACGGUCGGACUUGGAACGCGGUGCGAGGCCUCAAAAGUCCACAUCUAGCUACUGGGUGGUCCGAUUCUGAGUGAUCUCGAACUUUCUUGCCCACAAAAGCCGAACGGUGACGCCCCAGACUCAGUUUCUUGGUUCCGUCCCAAAACGCCGAAGAAAGGCACAAUGGCCUAGAAAGGGACGGUCGGACUUGGAACGGGGUCCGAGGCCUCGAAAGUCCACAUCUAGCUACUCGGUGGUCCGAUUCUGAGUGAUCUCGAAGGUUCUUGCCCACAAAAGGCGAACGGUGACGCCCAGACUCGGUUUCUUGGUUCCGUCCCAAAACGCCGAAGAAAGGCACAAUAGGGUAAUCCAAGCUUCAAGAUUUAUAUUUAGGCUAACUUAAACAAAUCUUAAGUCUAGAUAAAACAUCCAAGUAUAACCAUUAUACAGGAUUUUAACCUAUGAUGUCUAGGUGAAAAACCAUUUUUAUUACCUCACACUCUCACGAAUGCUCAUAAAACUAGGUUAACUAGGCUCAAGAACUGAUUACGAUCUUCAGUAGGAGGUGUUCCGUAAACCGUCAACUUAAGAACCUCCAACCUUAGUCAUCUUAUCUGACUUGUUGACAAGAUUGAACCAGGUGAGCCUUUUGUAACCAGUUUUACAAGAUAUCGACCUAUUUCUAUGAAAAAUGGAAGAUAUGUUUAACCUAAGUGAGCAUGCAUUUAAUCUUUGUUAUUGAUUUUAAAAAGUCUAAUUUAUUUUAUAACACUUAUAAAAACUUCUAUACUUAAUCAAUCAUUUUAUCAAUAUAUACUCUUAUAAAAACAAUCAAUUAAUAUGGAUUUUAAUUUAUUUAACUUUAAUUAAAUCAUAUUUAAUUAAAUUAAAUCAAACAAUAAUUAAUUAAUUUGAUUAAAUCAUAUUUAAUCAAGAAUAACUUAAUUAAUUAAUAAUUAAUUAAUCAUAUUAAUUAAUUUCCAUAUUAAUCAAUUAACAUGCAUACAAUACAAUAUAACCUUUAUAUCAUACAUUUUAAUGCAUGAACAUGUUAACCUAUGGUGGGAUUUUAAAUCUAUAUGACAUUCAAAAUGCACAUACAAAUUUAAAUAACUUAAUCAUACAUCACAUGCAUAAAUAAAAAAAACACCCUAAAAUUGACUGAUUUUUGGCUCCUAAAUUAAGCUAAGUGCUAAAUUAUUACAUAAUUAAUUUGGUGUAGUACAGAACCACUCCCAAAAACUUCGAACCGGCUAAAAAACCAACCGAAACCGCUUGAACCGGCCCAAAAACCAAAUUUAUUGGCUUGAACCGGCCCAGGCGCACACGGGUCGUGCGAAGGCAGGCGCGCGGGCGAAGGCGGGCGCGGGCGCAUGCGGGCGGCGGGCGGAUGCGGGCGCGCAGGCGCAUGCGGCGCGCGGCGCAGCGGCGCGCAGGCGCAUGCGGCGCGGCAGGCGGCGCGGGCGCAUGCGGCGCGCAGGCGGCAGGCGGGCGCGGGGCGCAGGAGGGCGCGCGGCAUGCGGGUCGCGAAGCGGGUCAAGGCCGGGUUUUCGGGUCUGUGACCUUCUUUUCUUCAUUUUUUUCAAUUCUCUCACCCGGUUGAACCAAUUACAGCCUAGCUUCAACUCUAAUGACUUUUUUAUUUUUUAAAAAUUACAAACACUUUGCAACAAUAAAAAUAAGCCAUUAACAAGGCUAAUUACAAUAAUUAGAACAAAAACACUUAAUCUAGAGCCAAAAUCAUAAUAUAUCCAUUUUAGUUCAAACCAAAAUUUUCUAAUAAAUUUGAACCCACAAUGCAAUUGGGUAAAAAUGAAGCUCUGAUCCACCAUGAUAGAACUAAGUCUGCACAGCGGAAAAAGAAUCGAAUUUCUACCCUAAUUGCCACAAAUUAACAUCUUAACCAUAAAACUAAUCAAUUAGGGUUUUAAGAAGUAUUACCUUUGAAGCUUUCAAAAGGUUUGAUGUCUUCUUACAAUUCUACGAGAACCACUAGUACUCAACUGCUAUCCUCUAGACAAAGAACCGGGUUGUGGGACCCAAUUUUGGUGUAGAAAGUAAUGGAGAUAAAAUGAGAUUGGAAGCUUUCUUUUUUCUUUUGUUGAGAUUAUGAAAAGAUAAAAGAGGCAAAAAGUCCUUCAACAUUUGAAAACAUCUCUAUUUAUAGCCUAAUUACAUGCAAAAAUGCAUACAAUUCAAUUGCCAAAUCUCAACACCUAAUAUUCCACUAACAAUUAGUGGAACUUAGUGGGCUAGGUGUCUAUAUCUCAUAUAGCCACAUAUCCCACUAAGAGUUAGUGGGAUUAUCCAACAAAAUGUUGGAUUUUCCCACUAACUUAGUCCAAGGGUAAAAUGGUCAUUUGAUUUUUCUAGUCAAAAGUCAAACUUUGACUUUUCUAAGUCAAAAGUCAAUAUUUUGACUUUUUACCAUUUUGUCCGUCUUGACUAAUUCCAACCUCCCGAGCAUGAAUCCGCAUUCAUUUUUCCAAAAUUCAAAUCACAU
RNAcentral lists this long non-coding RNA (12663 nucleotides) under Cucumis sativus (cucumber). RNAcentral describes it as "long non-coding RNA (CSAT_LNC000174)". The record is from RNAcentral. Lineage: Eukaryota; Viridiplantae; Streptophyta; Magnoliopsida; Cucurbitales; Cucurbitaceae.